CUACGGGAGGCUGCAGUGAGGAAUCUUCCACAAUGGACGAAAGUCUGAUGGAGCGAUGACGCGUGAAGGAUGAAGGUUGAGAGAUUGUAAACUUCUUUUCUGGGGGAGCAUAAUGAGAGUACCUCAGGAAUAAGGGACGGCUAACUACGUGCCAGCAGCCGCGGUAAUACGUAGGUCCCAAGCAUUAUCCGGAAUUAUUGGGCGUAAAGCGUCUGCAGGCUGACUUUUAAGUUGAUAAUGAAAGACCGGGGCUUAACCUCGAGUUUGUUAUCAAAACUGGAAGUCUAGGAUUAGGGAGAGGUAAGCAGAAUUCUAAGUGUAGGGGUGCAAUCCGUAGAUACUUAGAGGAAUACCAAAAGCGAAGGCAGCUUACUGGAACUAUAUCGACGCUCAGAGACGAAAGCGUGGGGAGCGAAAAGGAUUAGAUACCCCCGUAGUC
Molecule: ribosomal RNA, 439 nt
Filed under: uncultured bacterium
Lineage: Bacteria
Description: partial 16S ribosomal RNA
Rfam family: Bacterial small subunit ribosomal RNA
Source: RNAcentral